CGUACCUCUGCACACUUUUUGCAGCGCCACUAAAUACGUUCUAGCAGGUACAUAUUUCUACAGUUUUACGACACGAAAGUCCACUGGGGGCGCUAAAGAGAAGACCUCUGUGUGACACAUCGAUGACGGUCGACUCCACAUACAACACGAUUGAGCGUCAGAGAGAUGCCGGGAAACACACAGAAAUUGUGCCCCGGGUGCAACACCCUGAUAAGUGUUGCAUUCAAGACAUGCCCACUUUGCAAACAACUCCAGCCGUACAAAACAAAAGUUGCAAAAAAGAGAUGCAACUUUCAAAAUAAGAAGGCUGAAUGGAAGAAGUCAAUCGAAAAAAACAACAACAGGACAGUUGUACUUAAUAGCUGCCAUGUAAUGCUUGACAAACUUGCUGCCCUUGAUUUCUUCCCCAUACUACUUUUGGGAAAGAAAUUAAAGGGAAAGUUGGUGGCCGAUGCCAUCCUUGGAGGGGAUUACGUUUUGGAUCCCGAUUUGUUUCAGAGGGUUAAAUUGAUGUAUGAAGCAGUGCUAAAGAUUCAUUGUCAAAGACAGAAGAAGGCCACAAGUAGCACAGAAACUACUGACCCUCCAGAAGCUACUUCCACCAGCCCUCCAGAAGCCACUGCCACCAGCCCCCCAGAAGCUACCGGUAUUGAUAUCACAGGCUCAUCAGAAGCCACAAGACCCCAGGCCCAGAAGGCCAAAAAUAGACCAAGAAAUGAAGUACACUAUCCAGUCCAACAGAUGGAAGCCAGCAAGAAAAAGAAAAAGUGUUAAGUACAUUUUCUGUAUAUACAUUUGCAUCAGUAGCUUUCCUGUAGCCCAUUGGUAAGAGCUUUGCAUUAACAGCUUUGGAUAAAAGCGUCUUCCAAAUGAAUAAAUGUAAAUGUACAUUAAUAUGAUUUAUUAACUACUCUUUGAUUCUGCAGUCGCUGUUUGGUUUUAUUUGUAGCAAUAUACUUAUUUCAAAAUAAUAUUGCCUAUCUUUCAGAUGAGUGUCCAGAAUGCUGUAGGAGAGUGAGCCAAAACAACUUUGAUUACUCCAAGGUUUUGAAAAAAAGAGUGAGAGAGGGAACAGAGGAGGUCCUCAUUCGUUGGGUUCCAUGCAAGACCUGUGGGACCAAAUGGAAGGACUCAUGGGAGCCUUCUUCUUUUCUUGAAGAAUGAAUUAGAAAUAUGUAAAUUAAUUUAAAAAUGGGGCUUGUUGUUCAUUGCCUAAAAUGUAUAUUCCUUCAGGAAUAACCUAAUAAAAAUCAGUUUUGUAUGCAUCAUUAUUGGACAUGGUAUGUCACUUACAGUAUGUCUUGAAAAUUUAAUGGUGCAUGUGUUGCCUUUUAAACUUCCAAAAUGUUGCUGUUCAAUAUGAAAUUGAGUCCAUGUGCAAGAGCAAUUUAGCUGUCCUGCCUGCACCCCAGCAAUGCUUACAUAUUGGUUGAAGGAAACAUUACUGUUUAAAGUGUAUUGCAAGGUAUUCUAGAAUCUACACAUUCACACAUGAAUGGCAAAAUACACAACUAUGUAUUGUACACCAAGUUACCUUUAUCCGUGUCAAAUCUUAAAUGUUAGUUCCAUUUGUUCUUGUUUUUUUUAGAUCUGAAAGUGGUCGGGAUGUGAAUACAUUUCAGAAUGUAUAGUUAUUUGAACACAAAUUAUUCUUUCCUUUUUCAUAUACCUAUUUGAUACAAUUCUUACAUCAUGACAUAAUGAUCAUUUGUCAGUUACGAUUUUUCGACAAUGUAGGUUAUUGGAAUAUGCAUUUGUGUUGGGGCUUGGUUGGCAGCCAGAGAGAAUUCCCACAAAUCCUGCAAGAAGGUUUAUGAGGAGCAACUGGAGUUGGCUGUCUGCAGGCACGUUGAGCAGAGAACAUCACAAUGCUGCUGGUUCCAUCUUAGGGCAGGAAGUGGAGAAGUAGUUGACUUCUAAAGCUAUAUAGAUCCCCCUUGGGACCUGGAAACCCUGAAUGCUCACCUUCACCUGGAAAUGAGAGCAUGGGCAGAUGGUUUGGGUGACUUGACAAAGGAUAUGCAGUCAACUGUCUUCUCAAUCGGUGGUACCACUCACUCAGUAGUCAACACAAACAGGCUGUAAAUGCAUACAGCAGUAUAGCCGUUAUGGAGGACAUUGAGGACAACUCUCCGGUGCUGAAGAUGUGCACAAAAAAGACUUUCCUUUCUAUUAAACAGCCCUUUUUUUGAGGUGAUUUACUCUAGAUAGGGCUCAUUACAAACCCAACUGUUUGAAAAUAGUGCACUUUGAUUUUUUAUUUUUGAACUAAAUCUACUAAGUGUUGUCACACAUAGCUUACAGAUAAUCAAGGCCAAAGGUCCAGCACAUAUAGAAUGGCAAUUCUAAGCUAUUAUUAAGAUAAACUCAAAAAUUGAAGAAGGAAUUUGCAAAUACUAAUAUUGGACUAUUAUUAUUAAUUUGGUUCAGCUUUUUUGUGACAACAAAGCUGUAGUUUCUCCAGACUGGCGUCACUACAUAGCAAGUUAAUCAUGCUAAUUUCUUAAAUAAUCCUAUUACAAAGCAUAAUUUGUUUUUCACACGCUUAAAUUGUACAGAUUUUAAGGGAAAAUAUUUUGUGUAUUAUUGUGUGUGUGUGUGUAUGUAUCUAAGCUAUGAUUGCAAUAGAAUGUGGAAAUGUCUUCAUUUGUCUUGAUGCAUACAUGCUGUUUGUCGUUUAAGCAUACUUGUUGAUGAACCCCAUCAAAUGGAAUUUAAAUCAUAGAUGUAUUUCUAUAAUGAUUUCCAUAUCGCAUCAUCCAAGUGUACAUCAAUAUAGACAUAAAUCAAAUCCACUUUCACUGACAUUCUGUAAAACUGUACAGAGAAAUGUAUUAAUUUGUCUUUAUGCAUAUGUUCACUGCUGUAAUAAACACAAUAAUAAUGG
Molecule: RNA transcript, 2887 nt
Organism: Triplophysa dalaica
Lineage: Eukaryota; Metazoa; Chordata; Actinopteri; Cypriniformes; Nemacheilidae
Exons: 9
Source: RefSeq, a predicted model, not a curated record